This 560-nucleotide ribosomal RNA is filed under the name uncultured archaeon. Its description in RNAcentral is "bacterial SSU rRNA". It matches the Rfam family "Archaeal small subunit ribosomal RNA", at positions 319 to 879 of the family's 1478-position model. The record is from RNAcentral.
CGCCCUUCGGGGUGCACCAGGCGCGAAAACUUUACACUGCGGGAAACCGCGAUAAGGGGACCCCGAGUGCCAGCACCUAAUGCUGGCUGUCCAGUUGUCCAAAUAACAACUGUAAGCAAGGGCCGGGCAAGACCGGUGCCAGCCGCCGCGGUAACACCGGCGGCCCGAGUGGUAGCCGCUAUUAUUGGGUUUAAAGGGUCCGUAGCCGGCUUAUUAAGUCUUUUGGGAAAUCUGGCGGCUCAAUCGUCAGGCGUCCAAAAGAUACUGGUAGGCUUGGGACCGGGAGAGGUGGGAGGUACUCCAGGGGUAGGGGUGAAAUCUCGUAAUCCUUGGGGGACCACCGAUGGCGAAGGCAUCCCACCAGAACGGGUCCGACGGUGAGGGACGAAAGCUGGGGGCACGAACCGGAUUAGAUACCCGGGUAGUCCCAGCUGUAAACGAUGCUCGCUAGGUGUCGGGUGCGGUGCGACCGCAUCUGGUGCCGCAGUGAAAACUUGAAGCGAGUCACCUGGGAAGUACGGUCGCAAGGCUGAAACUUAAAGGAAUUGGCGGGGGAGCAC